Molecule: long non-coding RNA, 986 nt
Organism: Pectinophora gossypiella (pink bollworm)
Lineage: Eukaryota; Metazoa; Arthropoda; Insecta; Lepidoptera; Gelechiidae
Exons: 3
Source: RefSeq, a predicted model, not a curated record
AUUCGCCGAACUUCGGCGACUUGAAAACGAUUCAGAUAAAUCGAAGUUCGGCGUUUGGUACCGGGUAAUUUCCGAUGUUCAUUGCAAUCUGGAUGAAAAUCAAUCCAUAGAUAAUAAUAGACAUAUUAGAGGGGUGCAUGAUUGAACGAAUGACUUUUGGUCUUGCGUUCCGUUGAGACAUUUGGUAAACAUUUAAUAUUUUAUAUCAUUAUGAAAUUAAAAAAUACAGACUAAUUUUGUAUGUUAUUUUUAUUAAUUGAUAAUAUUUUUAGUUAAUCACUUUGUAAAGUCUUACAAAUGUUUAAAACAAAAGGAAAAUGCAACGACGGAUUUUUCUUUUGCAACUGAAGUAAUGAAACGCAAAAAAAAAAGAAAAAUGACGUUAUGUUAUAUCAGCUGACAUACUUGAAUUCGCGCCGAAUGCAACAGUUUUAUCUUCUCAGAAUUUAUACAAUAACAACAAUAACGAAAGAAAUAUCACCGAUUUACUACCUACUAGAUCUGAGAGUCGGAGGCUAGACAUGGAGGAGCGACUUGUUUCAGCAGUUAACAAGCUGGCUGGCUACAGCUGCUGAAGCUAAUAGCAAGGCCGCGGAUAUGCAAACAGAGUUGCUUCGGCUGCUGCUGGAGGAAGCUAGGUGAAGACCAAUAUAAGGUUAAAGAAUAGCAGCAUGACGAUUCUCAAGAACAAAGACACUAGCGAAGAACGAAGAUACAAACUAAGUUAAAAUACUUAAGUAAAAACAUAUGUAUUCAAUAAACUUGUAUGUAAAUAUUUAAGCUAAAGUAUAAGUACUCCAUUUAUGUUAUUUAAGUGAAGUUGUAUUUAAUUUAAAUACUUAAGUUUGGUCAUGUUAUUUAAGUGAGUUUGUCUAGGGGUAACAUUAAAGUACAUUAAAGACAAAGCAACUAGAUAUCAUUUUACCAAGAACUAUUUUGAAACAAAAAUAAUAUAGCAUCACGCUUCUAUUCCCGAAGGGGUAAGC